RNAcentral lists this long non-coding RNA (379 nucleotides) under Brassica napus (rape). Its description in RNAcentral is "long non-coding RNA (BNAP_LNC002027)". The record is from RNAcentral. Lineage: Eukaryota; Viridiplantae; Streptophyta; Magnoliopsida; Brassicales; Brassicaceae.
GCGCUCGUUCUCCUUUUCUAGCAGGAGUGUGUGUCGGUGGGUCUCUCUACUACGACAACGUGCCUUGUGCUUUGAGUUCGCAGGUGAGUUGGUUCUCGAGUACAGUCAAGGCUAGUGUAGGUCUAGCUUGUGGUUCAAAGGGCGGUUUUCGGUGCCUCCUCAGUGGCCUCCUGCUCUGCCUCUUCACUUUGAAUCCUCUCUUCCCGAUUCCCUGGCUUGUCCAUUCUCUGGAGGCGUAUGUUCUUCGGUUAGGUACGUGAUCUGGUCUUCAUAAAGUCCUUGCUGUUGCUAGCGGAAAAUUGUUUCAGCACUGGAGUUAGCUAGUUGGUUCUCAAAGGCUUCAAGCGUGCAAGUGGUUCUCGUGUCUUUGACUGCUUGC